ACAGCCAACAGCUGCUACUUAGGCGAGUCUGCUCAGACAAGAUCAGGACUACAGUGUGGGUUAUUAUAAAUGCCAAUGUUCUUGAUCUAAGAACGAUCAACUACAAACUUCAACCCUACUGGACUGCUUUCCAUGAAGGGUGUCCUGGCUUCUCUUCUGCAUUCCCACUGAGCACCACAAGAUGGCACACUAUGAAAGCCUGUUGAUGUUGGAGUCUACUGACUCCUCCACCAAGACCAUCCUCAGAAUCCUAUGAGGUUUAGUUUUAAACAAAGUCAAGAAGUAUCUAUA
Mus musculus (house mouse) is the source of this 291-nucleotide long non-coding RNA. RefSeq annotates it as predicted gene, 53511. Lineage: Eukaryota; Metazoa; Chordata; Mammalia; Rodentia; Muridae. The record is from RefSeq and is a predicted model, not a curated record. The transcript is spliced from 2 exons.